Molecule: long non-coding RNA, 1636 nt
Organism: Oncorhynchus nerka (sockeye salmon)
Lineage: Eukaryota; Metazoa; Chordata; Actinopteri; Salmoniformes; Salmonidae
Exons: 3
Source: RefSeq, a predicted model, not a curated record
UUGAUUCUAUAGUAUUUUUAUUAGUGCUGGAUAUACAGCAGGAACAGUAGCUUUUCAUUUGUAUUCAUUGGGACUGUAUACCCCUUCCUUUUUAUGCUGAAGAGGAGAGGAUACUCAACCUAAUCAAGAAAUGAAGGAAAAGAAAUUGGAGAUUUUGAGGACCGCCUUCUAUAUUUUAUUUGUGGCAACAGUAGCAUCUUCAAAACCAGUCAGUCUACAUGGAUUCCAAUUCAGAAGCAUGAUAGCUGACAGCCUGGAAUUGUCUGAGUCCUCAGAGUCCAGCAAGUCUUCCUCAGAGAAUGGUCAGCCAAUGGUCGCUGGCACUGAGAUCGCAAUACCAGACACUCAGGAGGAGACAGACCCACCAGACAGUGAAGCUAUAGCCUCUGAAACAGCCUCAGAAGUUGAUGAUGCUUUAAUUGCUUCACAAACCACACUUCAAACGGAUGCCUCAUCAGCAGAUGCACUAAAUGGGACAGACACUGAGGCUACCUCACAGCAUCCAGUCAUCGUCGCAUUGACGGAUUCUCCCAGUCUGACUUCUGAUAAUGUCACAACCCAUAUACGGUCUAUGGUCACAACGGCUCUGCCAUCAAUCACUGACACAGCCACAAUUCAAACAUUAUAUGUGGGCACAACUUCUCCCCCGGGCCCAUACCACAUGCCCAUUAUGGAGCAGCCAACUCCUCCACCAGUCUCCCCAAUACCAAGCCUAACUCCCCAGCAGCUAGUUCCAUUGGGAACCACUGAUGACAUAGCUGGUGUGCCAGGUUGUUUUACUGUAGUAUACAUAACCAGCCCUCAUGCUCAGCCAGUUCCUGUUAGAGGUGAUAACAUUUAAAGCAGAGAGGAAGUUAUUAUAUCAUUGAUUAAAGUCAGACAUAAAAGCUGGCUUCUUUUUUUCAUUUGUCUUUAUGAACAUAUGAGCACAUUGCAGCCACAUAGUGAGCUGGAGGGGCGCCUGUGCUGCAACUGGCUGAAGCGCUCAUGAAAAUGAUUCACUAUAAUAUUUUGCACUAUAUAAGUGACACAUAUGUAGAUGCACUGUACUUUAUAUUGCUCAGUGUCUUCCAUGAGUCAGUCUCACAUGUAUUUGUAUUUUUUCCCAUCUUUUAUCGUGUGAUUUAUUUUGAAAGGUGACACAGAUUGCAUUAACACUGUCAACAACAUUUUAGUCUAUUUGUAAAAGAGGACCCACCAUCUGUAAAUAAAUGCUCUUUAAACAUUUAGAAAAAGGACGGAAGUCAGAAAGAGUACCUUUUUGUGUGCUGCAGGAUAUUUUGGGGCUUUUGAUUAUACUGCAAAACUUAUUACAGGCGAUUUGCAGAUAAUGCCAGCUGUUGGGCAUUCUUUGUGACUCCCAUUGUGUCCUCAGUUAUCAUUGAAUGAAUGAAUGAUGAUUACAUUCCUGUUUUAAUUUUGUACUGUAAAGUUUGUCUUGUAUACAAUUGAAUGUCUGACCCAGAAAGACAGAGACCCUGGAGCAGAUGUUGUUUAACUUCUGGUAUGAAUGCAAUGCAGUGAGUGAACAAGUGGGUGUUGUUUUUUCUCCCGGUAUUACAGAGACACUGUUGUUGAGAGAUACCAAAGCUCAUGGCAUGAAGUAUGUUUGCCACCGCACAACACACAUUGAUCA